GCUAACUAACGGUGCAGCAGCCGCGGUAAUACGGAGGGUGCGAGCGUUAAUCGGAAUUACUGGGCGUAAAGCGCAUGCAGGUGGUUUGUUAAGUCAGAUGUGAAAGCCCGGGGCUCAACCUCGGAGUUGCAUUUGAAACUGGCAGGCUAGAGUACUGUAGAGGGGGGUAGAAUUUCAGGUGUAGCGGUGAAAUGCGUAGAGAUCUGAAGGAAUACCGGUGGCGAAGGCGGCCCCCUGGACAGAUACUGACACUCAGAUGCGAAAGCGUGGGGAGCAAACAGGAUUAGAUACCCUGGUAGUCCACGCUGUAAACGAUGUCUACUUGGAGGUUGUGGCCUUGAGCCGUGGCUUUCGGAGCUAACGCGUUAAGUAGACCGCCUGGGGAGUACGGUCGCAAGAUUAAAACUCAAAUGAAUUGACGGGGGCCCGCACAAGCGGUGGAGCAUGUGGUUUAAUUCGAUGCAACGCGAAGAACCUUACCUACUCUUGACAUCUACAGGAUCCUGCGGAGACGCGGGAGUGCCUUCGGGAACUGUAAGACAGGUGCUGCAUGGCUGUCGUCAGCUCGUGUUGUGAAAUGUUGGGUUAAGUCCCGCAACGAGCGCAACCCUUAUCCUUGUUUGCCAGCGAGUAAUGUCGGGAACUCCAGGGAGACUGCCGGUGAUAAACCGGAGGAAGG
Molecule: ribosomal RNA, 679 nt
Filed under: Vibrio metschnikovii
Lineage: Bacteria; Pseudomonadati; Pseudomonadota; Gammaproteobacteria; Vibrionales; Vibrionaceae
Description: bacterial SSU rRNA
Rfam family: Bacterial small subunit ribosomal RNA
Source: RNAcentral